GACGAAGGGUGCAAGCGUUAUCCGGAUUCACUGGGUUUAAAGGGUGCGUAGGCGGAUAGGUAAGUCCGUGGUGAAAUCCUGCAGCUUAACUGCAGAACUGCCAUGGAUACUAUUUAUCUUGAAUGUCGUGGAGGUUAGCAGAAUAUGUCAUGUAGCGGUGAAAUGCUUAGAUAUGACAUAGAACACCAAUUGCGAAGGCAGCUUACUACCCGAAUAUUGACACUGAGGCACGAAAGCGUGGGGAUCAAACAGG
RNAcentral lists this ribosomal RNA (253 nucleotides) under uncultured bacterium. RNAcentral's name for it is "partial 16S ribosomal RNA". It matches the Rfam family "Bacterial small subunit ribosomal RNA", at positions 524 to 776 of the family's 1533-position model. The record is from RNAcentral.